RNAcentral lists this ribosomal RNA (292 nucleotides) under uncultured bacterium. RNAcentral's name for it is "partial 16S ribosomal RNA". It matches the Rfam family "Bacterial small subunit ribosomal RNA", at positions 479 to 776 of the family's 1533-position model. The record is from RNAcentral.
CUAUGCGCCUUGCCAGCCCGCUCAGGUGCCAGCCGCCGCGGUAAUACGGAGGAUGCGAGCGUUAUCCGGAUUUAUGGUUAAAGGGUGCGUAGCGGGAUGCCAAGUCAGCGGUAAAAAUGCGGUGCUCAACGCCGUCGAGCCGUUGAAACUGGCGUUCUUGAGUGGGUGAGAAGUAUGCGGAAUGCGUGGUGUAGCGGUGAAAUGCAUAGAUAUCACGCAGAACUCCGAUUGCGAAGGCAGCAUACCGGCGCCCUACUGACGCUGAGGCACGAAAGCGUGGGUAUCGAACAGG